CUGGGUUUGGUUGAAGCCAGUCUGUCUGAAUUUUUACAGAUAGUAGUUCCCACCCAGAGGACAGCAAGCACAGUGAAUGUCUGAUGCCGCGGGACGGUGCUUCAACCUUGAAGAUGCCCUGAGAGUUCUGCAGCCCUAGGAGCAGACUGUGAAUCCUUACAGCCCCUCCCCCAUCACCACUCACCCUCCUGCUCCCAGGGCCAAGGCUUGAAGGUUUGUAUGUAGGAGACUUACUCUACCUUGGACUUCUCCUGUGAGCAGUAAGACCUGACUCUUGUGUCUACUCUGUACCUCUCACCCACCUUCACAACACGGAGUUUUAUACCCGUUCCUGGGGCAAGGAGCAAUGAACAGAGAAGGCGGCACAGCAAACAGGACAGAACAGAAUUGAACACAGUGGUUUUGGCGAGCAAGUCAGCAUGCAAACGGGAAUAAGAGCCCUGGGACUUUCCUAAGACAAACAAAGGAUUUAAAAGAAAUAACAAUAUUUAAUAGAACUCAAAACCCCCAAGUCCAGAUUAAGAAAACAACUUGCUACAAACAACGGAAGAUACUAAAAUUAGCUGUAUUUUUUAACUAGAAACUCUCUCAUCACAGCACCCAAAAAAAGGUACAUCAAGUUUAAGAAAUGUUUUAUGAUGGGAAUAGAAAUGUUCAGCUCCAGGAAGAAUAACUACUGAAUCCUCCACUGACUGGAGCUUCCCAAGUGUCACUAGUGGUAAAGAAUCCGCCUGCCAAUGAAGGAGACAUAAAGAGACCUGGGUUUGAUCUCUGGGUUGAAAAGAUCCCCCUGGAGGAGGGCAUGGCAACCCAUUCCAGUAUUCUUGCCUGGAGAAUCCCAUGGACAGAGGACCCUGUAGGGCAACAGUUCAUGGGAUGGCAAGCAGUUGAACAUGAAUGAAGCAACUCAGCUGAUCCACUCAGUGGCCUUCCCCAAAUCUUUGUUCAUUCCUGCUUCCCUAAGUGCCUGGUUUCCUGUCAAAUUGCUAUUGUCCCGAAGCCUUCAUGUUUCCUCUUGAUCAUAUUUCUUCCCCCAAGCCCUUUUUCAGCAAUGAGUUAAAGCUCCAGACAGUUGUCAAGUAUUCCUCUUGUGCAGGCCAAGCUUUCCAAGGAGUGACACCACAAAGUGAAGACACAAACGGAUGUGACGAGGCACUUGAUGUUGGACUUGGCACAGCCCUGGGCAGAGAAAUGGAGCUGCAGGGGAGGAUCCACACGCAGCCAGAUCCACAUUAUUCCCAGAAGAGUCAUUGGGAUAUAACUGCACGUGGCUCAAGUUCAGAGUCCUGGGUCAAAGCCCUUGGGAAAUCCUAUGGUCCAGAGUCUCUCACGCCAGCUGACACUGGCAUCAGUAAACAUUAUAGACCAAGGGUCAGAAAACUAUGGGCUCUAAGCCAAAUAGGACCCUUGCCUAUUUUUGUAUGACUGGCAAGCUUCGAGUCAUUUUUAAAUAUUUGAAAAAAAAAUUAAGUAAUAUUGUUGACAUUAAAAUGGUAUACAAUUAAAGUCUGUGUCUAAAAUUAAAGUUUUGCUGCAUACCAC
Bos taurus (domestic cattle) is the source of this 1542-nucleotide long non-coding RNA. The record is from Ensembl. NCBI's taxonomy places the organism in Eukaryota, Metazoa, Chordata, Mammalia, Artiodactyla, Bovidae.